CCCCUAGAUGUUCUGGGCCGCACGCGCGCUACACUGAACAGUUCAACAAGUCUUAACCUUGGCCGAUAGGUCUGGGUAAUCUUUGAACGCUGUUCGUGAUUGGGAUAGACCUUUGCAAUUAUGGGUCUUCAACGAGGAAUUCCUAGUAAACGCAAGUCAUCAGCUUGCAUUGAUUACGUCCCUGCCCUUUGUACACACCGCCCGUCGCACCUACCGAUUGAAUGGUCCGGUGAAAUCUCGGGACGGCGGCUUGGUCGCUUGCGUCCGACUGCUGAAACUUGAUUAAACCAUAUCAUUCAGAGGAAGGUGGAGUCGUAACA
This 320-nucleotide ribosomal RNA is filed under the name uncultured eukaryote. Its description in RNAcentral is "partial 18S ribosomal RNA". It matches the Rfam family "Eukaryotic small subunit ribosomal RNA", at positions 1470 to 1796 of the family's 1831-position model. The record is from RNAcentral.